CCUUAGCCGGAUGGCGGGGACAAAGGGGGAACGAGAGAGCCAGCGACUGACGAGGAGGAGGGUUUCGCCGAGAGCAACCCAGAGGGACCAGGACGGAAAGGGGGCUCCCCUGGUCUCAUGCCUUCAUCAGCCUCAACUCCCCAUCCAUGGCCAGCAGUGAGAAGAUGCUAACACGACGUUGGACGUGGCUUCCUUCUACCUUCCCUGCCAGCCCAAAGCCCUGGCCAUCAGGCUUGUGGAGGAGAGCCUGGCCCUAAGAAUGAGCCCGAGCAACCCCAGCAGUCAUGCCCAAGAAGAGGCUGAAGGUCCGUCGCAGGGAGGAGCCUGCCCAGGUACCUGAGCCCCCUUCCAGUUGGGUACAAUUGCUGCUCCAGUGACUGCAGAGAGAAAAAGAAGACAUGACCAGAUGGAGACAGAGCUGGAAAGGAAGAAAGUUACUCCCAGAGAGAGGGUGGCUGAAGGUGUCAUGAUCCCGGAGAGAGAGAAUGGGGAUAGGAGAGGCAACACCCUGAGAGAUAGGGUAAA
Choloepus didactylus (southern two-toed sloth) is the source of this 525-nucleotide long non-coding RNA. RefSeq lists it as uncharacterized. The transcript has 3 exons. Lineage: Eukaryota; Metazoa; Chordata; Mammalia; Pilosa; Megalonychidae. The record is from RefSeq and is a predicted model, not a curated record.